UCAAAGCUUCCUCUUUGAUGCCUUACAUCAGACGGAUCCACACCAUAGAAGACUGGCAAAACAUGCAGGUUGUUAUUGCUGCUGCACUCCAUGAUCAUUUGAAGCUCAUCCAAACACCAAGUGGAAGAUGCAUAGUCUGGUGAGAUAAUAGUGAUGGCAAACAUAGAAUCUUUUAUUGCAUUGAUUAGCUUUUCUGAAAUGUUUUUCCCUCUCUCAAGGUCUUUGUCAUCUCUGAAAGUUGUGAUCCCUUUUCUUUCAAGGGCAGCGCGUAAAUGAUCAGUGAAUCCUUUGCGUGUAUCUUCUCCUCGAAAACUCAAAAACACAUGGUAGCUGCAUAACCGUGUGGUCGAACUUGAACUGCAUGGAGAGGAAGAAGAUGCUUCACAUAUAGUGAAUGUUGCCAUUUGUUCAAU
Molecule: long non-coding RNA, 413 nt
Filed under: Medicago truncatula (barrel medic)
Lineage: Eukaryota; Viridiplantae; Streptophyta; Magnoliopsida; Fabales; Fabaceae
Description: long non-coding RNA (MTRU_LNC005336)
Source: RNAcentral